AGCCAUGCAGGUCGCCGCGCUGCUCAUCUGUCUGCUGCUGACCGCGAAUACGUCACAGGUUCAGGCGCAGCCCGAGCGCUGGGAGUUAAACUGGAGGGAAAAGGAUCCAGAGGACACUAUUUCCAUUUCAUCAGGGAAAGGUGUCUCAAAUGCUGAGAUUUAUGUAUGACCGGAAGUGCUGCAACUGUUACAUCUUAGGAGCAGGCCCAUAAAAAACACUUCAAUACUAUGCCAGCAUGGGUGCUAGGAAGUGAACAAGAAAAAUCAUCAGUGGUAAUUCUGCUGCCUGAAGGCUCAGCAGAUAAUGAACACAUUUUCUGAUGUUCAGAUGGACAAUGAAAUUUAUUCUUUCAAACAUUGUGUCAGUAGGAUAUAAAU
Long non-coding RNA from Schistocerca gregaria, 378 nucleotides. RefSeq lists it as uncharacterized. The record is from RefSeq and is a predicted model, not a curated record. NCBI's taxonomy places the organism in Eukaryota, Metazoa, Arthropoda, Insecta, Orthoptera, Acrididae. The transcript is spliced from 3 exons.